Molecule: non-coding RNA, 111 nt
Organism: Acanthosepion pharaonis
Lineage: Eukaryota; Metazoa; Mollusca; Cephalopoda; Sepiida; Sepiidae
Source: the annotation of a GenBank genome assembly
CAGACAUACCAUGCUGAAACACCUGUUUCCGUACGAUCACCGAAGUUAAGCAACGUUAAGCAUGGUCAAUGCCUUGAUGGGUGACCGCUUAGGAAUACCGUCUGCUGUAAG